Molecule: ribosomal RNA, 403 nt
Filed under: Fusobacteriota bacterium
Lineage: Bacteria; Fusobacteriati; Fusobacteriota
Description: Fusobacteria bacterium partial 16S ribosomal RNA
Rfam family: Bacterial small subunit ribosomal RNA
Source: RNAcentral
UGGGGAAUUUUGCACAAUGGAGGAAACUCUGAUGCAGCGACGCCGCGUGAGUGAUGAAGAUCUUCGGAUUGUAAAACUCUGUCCUUAGUGAAGAUAAUGACAGUAACUAAGAAGCAAGCCCUGGCUAAAUACGUGCCAGCAGCCGCGGUAAUACGUAUGGGGCAAGCGUUGUCCGGAAUUAUUGGGCGUAAAGGGUACGUAGGCGGUUUAAUAAGUCCUAAUUAAAAGGCUAUGGCUCAACCAUAGUAUGGUUAGGAAACUGUUGAACUUGAGUAGAUGAGGGGAAAGUGGAAUUCCGUGUGUAGCGGUGAAAUGCGUAGAUAUAUGGAGGAACACCAAUGGCGAAGGCAACUUUCUGGAAUCAAACUGACGCUGAGGUACGAAGGCGUGGGGAGCAAACAGG